GUGCCAGCCGCCGCGGUAAUACGUAGGACGCAAGCGUUAUCCGGAUUUAUUGGGUUUAAAGGGUGCGUAGGCGGACCCAUAAGUCAGUGGUGAAAGACUGUCGCUUAACGAUAGCAUUGCCAUUGAUACUGUGGGUCUUGAGUAUAGUUGAGGUAGGCGGAAUGUGUAGUGUAGCGGUGAAAUGCUUAGAUAUUACACAGAACACCGAUUGCGAAGGCAGCUUACUAAGCUAUAACUGACGCUGAGGCACGAAAGCGUGGGGAUCAAACAGGAUUAGAAACCCUUGUAGUCC
This 292-nucleotide ribosomal RNA is filed under the name uncultured bacterium. RNAcentral describes it as "partial 16S ribosomal RNA". It matches the Rfam family "Bacterial small subunit ribosomal RNA", at positions 505 to 796 of the family's 1533-position model. The record is from RNAcentral.